This 401-nucleotide long non-coding RNA is filed under the name Pan troglodytes (chimpanzee). RNAcentral's name for it is "long non-coding RNA NONPTRT005284". The record is from RNAcentral. Lineage: Eukaryota; Metazoa; Chordata; Mammalia; Primates; Hominidae.
AAGAAGAGGAAGAGGAGGAGGAGGACACCUCCUGGACAGGAAAACUCUGUGCCUUGGUUUACAAAAUCAAAGGCCCACCCAAGCCAGAGAAGGAGCAGCCGACGGAGGAGGAGGAGAGAUGCCCCACAACAUUGAAGGAACUCAUCUCACAGACGAUGAUCUGCUGGGCCCAGGAGGACCAGAUCCAGGAUUCAGAGCUGGUCCGAAUGAUGUUCAACCUCCUCCGGAGGCAGUAUGACAGCAUCGGGGAGCUGCUGCAGGCACUGCGGAAGACCUACACCAUCAGCCACACCUCUGUAAGCGACACCAUCAACCUGCUGGCUGCCCUGGGCCAAAUCCGCUCCCUCCUCAGUGUCAGGAUGGGCAAGGAAGAGGAGUUGCUCAUGAUCAAUGGGCUGGGG